ACGAACGCUGGCGGCGUGCUUAACACAUGCCAGUCGCACGGAAAGGCCCUGCUUUUGUGGGGUGCUCGAGUGGCGAACGGGUGAGUAACACGUGAGUAACCUGCCCUUGACUUUGGGAUAACUUCAGGAAACUGGGGCUAAUACUGGAUAGGAGCUCCUGCUGCAUGGUGGGGGUUGGAAAGUUUCGGCGGUUGGGGAUGGACUCGCGGCUUAUCAGCUUGUUGGUGGGGUAGUGGCUUACCAAGGCUUUGACGGGUAGCCGGCCUGAGAGGGUGACCGGCCACAUUGGGACUGAGAUACGGCCCAGACUCCUACGGGAGGCAGCAGUGGGGAAUAUUGCACAAUGGGCGGAAGCCUGAUGCAGCAACGCCGCGUGCGGGAUGACGGCCUUCGGGUUGUAAACCGCUUUCGCCUGUGACGAAGCGUGAGUGACGGUAAUGGGUAAAGAAGCACCGGCUAACUACGUG
This 467-nucleotide ribosomal RNA is filed under the name uncultured bacterium. RNAcentral describes it as "partial 16S ribosomal RNA". It matches the Rfam family "Bacterial small subunit ribosomal RNA", at positions 29 to 507 of the family's 1533-position model. The record is from RNAcentral.